This 364-nucleotide ribosomal RNA is filed under the name Halobacteriovoraceae bacterium. RNAcentral describes it as "partial 23S ribosomal RNA". It matches the Rfam family "Bacterial large subunit ribosomal RNA", at positions 2548 to 2925 of the family's 2925-position model. The record is from RNAcentral. Lineage: Bacteria; Pseudomonadati; Bdellovibrionota; Bacteriovoracia; Bacteriovoracales; Halobacteriovoraceae.
UGGGGCUGGAGCAGGUCCCAAGGGAUUGACUGUUCGUCAAUUAAAGUGGUACGCGAGCUGGGUUCAGAACGUCGUAAGACAGAUCUGUCCCUAUCCUCCGUGGGCGCAGGAGAUUUGAGUGAGUCUGUCCUUAGUACGAGAGGACCGGGAUGGACGAACCUAUGGUGUGCCGGUUGUAGUGCCAACUGCAGUGCCGGGUAGCUAAGUUCGGAAGGGAUAACCACUGAAACCAUCUAAGUGGGAAGCCUUUCACAAGAUAAGAUCUCCAUGAGGCAGCUUGUAGACUACAAGCUUGAUAGGCCAGAGGUGUAAGUACAGCGAUGUAUUGAGCUGACUGGUACUAAAUUGCCAAUUGCUUACAAAA